Molecule: transfer RNA, 65 nt
Filed under: Bahadzia jaraguensis
Lineage: Eukaryota; Metazoa; Arthropoda; Malacostraca; Amphipoda; Hadziidae
Description: transfer RNA Aspartic acid
Source: RNAcentral
UAAGUGUUAAUUUAACUUUCUAAAAUAUUAAUUUGUCAAAUUUAAAAUACUCUAAGUACACUUAU